GAUAUCGAGGGAUCAAGUAUUAAAAAAACUCAAUAAAGAGUUAAGUUUAGAACUCAAACAAUUUUUUUGGAGCAUUUUUAAAUUUUUCUACCAGCAUCAAAGAAGAGUUUACUUCUUAUGGUCUUGUGUAGGAUAACUAUACAUUUCUUCAUAUAUAUAAAAAAAAAGAGUUUUCAAGUACUUCAUGCUGAGUAACCAGACCUCUUUGCCUAUUCAAGUAUUGAGUUUCAUGUCAAAAGGUAUGAAGGACAAAGAAGCUUAUUGUAAAGCUAGUUUUAACUCGUAGCCUGU
This 291-nucleotide long non-coding RNA is filed under the name Elaeis guineensis (African oil palm). RNAcentral describes it as "long non-coding RNA (EGUI_LNC017230)". Lineage: Eukaryota; Viridiplantae; Streptophyta; Magnoliopsida; Arecales; Arecaceae. The record is from RNAcentral.